Molecule: long non-coding RNA, 753 nt
Filed under: Equus caballus (horse)
Lineage: Eukaryota; Metazoa; Chordata; Mammalia; Perissodactyla; Equidae
Description: lncRNA (ENSECAG00000044931.1)
Source: RNAcentral
GUGACUUUUUCAUUUGAAGACGCAGCCUGGCUUGGGGGACACGUGCAACCUAGGACACUGUCCUCUUACUCUUGGCAGGGCUCUGCUACCUGCCCCCACAUGCUGCCUUCACCUUUACCAACACGGUCCAGGCAGGUGAGGAAAAAGCACUCUUGCUGUUUCUCACCUGGGCCUCUGAAUUGAAGGCAGUCCUACCCACCCACCCCCAGCUGGCACCUCCAGAGGCCUCUCGGUCUUCCUUCCAAGUGGGCGUCUGCAAGCAGAACCCUGACUAAUACACAGACCAGGUGAAGACACCAGUGAGAAGGAUUCCAGCACCAGGCUCCGUUUCACAGCCUCCCGGGAGUGAUCAGAGAACUGAGGCUCAGAGAGGUUAAGGAAUCUCCUCCAGCCCUGGAGCCAGUGACGUGUGGAGCUGUGCUGGUCUCUUUCCACCCCUGAAGAUAAGAACCAUGCCUGUGUGCCUUCUUGUCUUCCUGACAUCCAGCUGGUCUGCAGAUAAUGAAUGUGUAAAUUUACUAAUAGCCAGUGGCCCCUAGAAUGACCCCAGAGGCCCAUGGCCCACCACACCCUACCCUCUUCUGUUAAAUAAGGACUGUCUUCCAAGCCGCACAAGUAAUCCCUACUUAAUGACUUUCACCUUUGCACACCCUCAUCUUCCUUUGUCAUUCAGUGUGCUCAGAACACCCUGUCAUCACUUUUUAAUCCUGGCUACCUCCCUGGGAGGGUAGGUGCUCUGAUCAAUGAAGGAGG